Molecule: ribosomal RNA, 1472 nt
Filed under: Escherichia sp. E4702
Lineage: Bacteria; Pseudomonadati; Pseudomonadota; Gammaproteobacteria; Enterobacterales; Enterobacteriaceae
Description: partial 23S ribosomal RNA
Rfam family: Bacterial large subunit ribosomal RNA
Source: RNAcentral
ACUGGUCGAGUCGGCCUGCGCGGAAGAUGUAACGGGGCUAAACCAUGCACCGAAGCUGCGGCAGCGACGCUUAUGCGUUGUUGGGUAGGGGAGCGUUCUGUAAGCCUGUGAAGGUGUGCUGUGAGGCAUGCUGGAGGUAUCAGAAGUGCGAAUGCUGACAUAAGUAACGAUAAAGCGGGUGAAAAGCCCGCUCGCCGGAAGACCAAGGGUUCCUGUCCAACGUUAAUCGGGGCAGGGUGAGUCGACCCCUAAGGCGAGGCCGAAAGGCGUAGUCGAUGGGAAACAGGUUAAUAUUCCUGUACUUGGUGUUACUGCGAAGGGGGGACGGAGAAGGCUAUGUUGGCCGGGCGACGGUUGUCCCGGUUUAAGUGUGUAGGCUGGUUUUCCAGGCAAAUCCGGAAAAUCAAGGCUGAGGCGUGAUGACGAGGCACUACGGUGCUGAAGCAACAAAUGCCCUGCUUCCAGGAAAAGCCUCUAAGCAUCAGGUAACAUCAAAUCGUACCCCAAACCGACACAGGUGGUCAGGUAGAGAAUACCAAGGCGCUUGAGAGAACUCGGGUGAAGGAACUAGGCAAAAUGGUGCCGUAACUUCGGGAGAAGGCACGCUGAUAUGUAGGUGAAGCGACUUGCUCGUGGAGCUGAAAUCAGUCGAAGAUACCAGCUGGCUGCAACUGUUUAUUAAAAACACAGCACUGUGCAAACACGAAAGUGGACGUAUACGGUGUGACGCCUGCCCGGUGCCGGAAGGUUAAUUGAUGGGGUCAGCGCAAGCGAAGCUCUUGAUCGAAGCCCCGGUAAACGGCGGCCGUAACUAUAACGGUCCUAAGGUAGCGAAAUUCCUUGUCGGGUAAGUUCCGACCUGCACGAAUGGCGUAAUGAUGGCCAGGCUGUCUCCACCCGAGACUCAGUGAAAUUGAACUCGCUGUGAAGAUGCAGUGUACCCGCGGCAAGACGGAAAGACCCCGUGAACCUUUACUAUAGCUUGACACUGAACAUUGAGCCUUGAUGUGUAGGAUAGGUGGGAGGCUUUGAAGUGUGGACGCCAGUCUGCAUGGAGCCGACCUUGAAAUACCACCCUUUAAUGUUUGAUGUUCUAACGUGGACCCGUGAUCCGGGUUGCGGACAGUGUCUGGUGGGUAGUUUGACUGGGGCGGUCUCCUCCUAAAGAGUAACGGAGGAGCACGAAGGUUGGCUAAUCCUGGUCGGACAUCAGGAGGUUAGUGCAAUGGCAUAAGCCAGCUUGACUGCGAGCGUGACGGCGCGAGCAGGUGCGAAAGCAGGUCAUAGUGAUCCGGUGGUUCUGAAUGGAAGGGCCAUCGCUCAACGGAUAAAAGGUACUCCGGGGAUAACAGGCUGAUACCGCCCAAGAGUUCAUAUCGACGGCGGUGUUUGGCACCUCGAUGUCGGCUCAUCACAUCCUGGGGCUGAAGUAGGUCCCAAGGGUAUGGCUGUUCGCCGAUUUAAAGUGGUAC